This 254-nucleotide ribosomal RNA is filed under the name uncultured bacterium. RNAcentral's name for it is "partial 16S ribosomal RNA". It matches the Rfam family "Bacterial small subunit ribosomal RNA", at positions 333 to 604 of the family's 1533-position model. The record is from RNAcentral.
GAGGGCCUACGGGACGCAGCAGUGGGGGAUAUUGCACAAUGGGGGGAACCCUGAUGCAGCGACGCCGCGUGGGUGAAGAAGCGCCUCGGCGCGUAAAGCCCUGUCAGCAGGGAAGAAAAUGACGGUACCUGAAGAAGAAGCCCCGGCUAACUACGUGCCAGCAGCCGCGGUAAUACGUAGGGGGCAAGCGUUAUCCGGAUUUACUGGGUGUAAAGGGGGCGCAGACGGCGAUGCAAGCCAGGAGUGAAAGUCCG